CAUAAUUUUUUGUGGUGCAUUUACUUGAUUGGUGCUUGGGGAUGUUUGAGGCAGAUUUGUUUCCGYCGUUUUGAGGCCAGCUUGCUGGUACCCAAACGGUGUUAGCAUUUUUUGUCUUGGRCAUUUGAGUAUGGCUYACGUGUAUUUAUUGGACAGAUCUGAGUGUAAGUUACGGUCGCAUGCGACACGUGCUUUUCAAUUAGUUCGGUCCAGUUAAUGCUCUCGUACUCGUUCCCCAUGUAAAAGCCGGUCAUCUAUCCGACCCGUCUUGAAACACGGACCAAGGAGUUUAUCGUGUGCGCAAGUUUUUGGGUGUUAAAAACUUAAAAGCGAAAUGAAAGUAAAUGACUCUUUAGAGUCUGAUGUGCGAUCUUGUAAAAAAGUGUAGCAUGGCCCCAUUCUAACUGUUUACAGUAGGGUGGCGGAAGAGCGUACGCGGUGAGACCCGAAAGAUGGUGAACUAUUCCUGAGCAGGACGAAGCCAGAGGAAACUCUGGUGGAAGUCCGAAGCGGUUCUGACGUGCAAAUCGAUCGUCUGACUUGGGUAUAGGGGCGAAAGACUAAUCGAACCAUCUAGUA
Molecule: ribosomal RNA, 579 nt
Filed under: Meloidogyne sp. Hartbeesfontein
Lineage: Eukaryota; Metazoa; Nematoda; Chromadorea; Rhabditida; Meloidogynidae
Description: eukaryotic LSU rRNA
Rfam family: Eukaryotic large subunit ribosomal RNA
Source: RNAcentral